This 938-nucleotide ribosomal RNA is filed under the name Escherichia coli. RNAcentral describes it as "partial 23S ribosomal RNA". It matches the Rfam family "Bacterial large subunit ribosomal RNA", at positions 419 to 1358 of the family's 2925-position model. Lineage: Bacteria; Pseudomonadati; Pseudomonadota; Gammaproteobacteria; Enterobacterales; Enterobacteriaceae. The record is from RNAcentral.
GGGACACGUGGUAUCCUGUCUGAAUAUGGGGGGACCAUCCUCCAAGGCUAAAUACUCCUGACUGACCGAUAGUGAACCAGUACCGUGAGGGAAAGGCGAAAAGAACCCCGGCGAGGGGAGUGAAAAAGAACCUGAAACCGUGUACGUACAAGCAGUGGGAGCCUCUUAAUGGGGUGACUGCGUACCUUUUGUAUAAUGGGUCAGCGACUUAUAUUCUGUAGCAAGGUUAACCGAAUAGGGGAGCCGAAGGGAAACCGAGUCUUAACUGGGCGUUAAGUUGCAGGGUAUAGACCCGAAACCCGGUGAUCUAGCCAUGGGCAGGUUGAAGGUUGGGUAACACUAACUGGAGGACCGAACCGACUAAUGUUGAAAAAUUAGCGGAUGACUUGUGGCUGGGGGUGAAAGGCCAAUCAAACCGGGAGAUAGCUGGUUCUCCCCGAAAGCUAUUUAGGUAGCGCCUCGUGAAUUCAUCUCCGGGGGUAGAGCACUGUUUCGGCAAGGGGGUCAUCCCGACUUACCAACCCGAUGCAAACUGCGAAUACCGGAGAAUGUUAUCACGGGAGACACACGGCGGGUGCUAACGUCCGUCGUGAAGAGGGAAACAACCCAGACCGCCAGCUAAGGUCCCAAAGUCAUGGUUAAGUGGGAAACGAUGUGGGAAGGCCCAGACAGCCAGGAUGUUGGCUUAGAAGCAGCCAUCAUUUAAAGAAAGCGUAAUAGCUCACUGGUCGAGUCGGCCUGCGCGGAAGAUGUAACGGGGCUAAACCAUGCACCGAAGCUGCGGCAGCGACACUAUGUGUUGUUGGGUAGGGGAGCGUUCUGUAAGCCUGUGAAGGUGGCCUGUGAGGGUUGCUGGAGGUAUCAGAAGUGCGAAUGCUGACAUAAGUAACGAUAAAGCGGGUGAAAAGCCCGCUCGCCGGAAGACCAAGGGUUCCUGU